Small nuclear RNA from Callipepla squamata (scaled quail), 103 nucleotides. Lineage: Eukaryota; Metazoa; Chordata; Aves; Galliformes; Odontophoridae. The record is from Rfam.
GUCUAGUUCCAGCAGCACAUAUACAAAGAUUGGAAAGUUACAGAGAUUAACAUGGCUCCCGAGCAAAGAUGACAUGCAAAUUGAUUAGGAACUCAUUUUUUUA